AACUAGGCUAGAAUACUAUUAAUAGCACCAAUGACUUUGUGCUAUUAAGUUUUUUGCUGUUGGAUUAAAAGAUAUAUGGUUAGGAUAAUGUGGGCCCCUAGGGUUGAGUGGGUGGUUAGUUGAAUAGUAUAAUCGAACGGUAAUAGCACCAAUGACUUUGUGCUAUUAAGUUUUUUGCCGUUGGAUUAAAAGAUAUAUGGUUAGGAUAAUGUGGGCCCCUAGGGUUGAGUGGGUGGUUAGUUGAAUAGUAUAAUCGAACGGAUGAAAAUGAUAAAAGAGGCAAAUUUAACGGCAGAAAACUUGAUAGCACAAAAUGCUUCAUGCUAUCGAUAGUAUACCGGCAGGACUAUAUAUAUAUAUAUAUAUAU
RNAcentral lists this long non-coding RNA (368 nucleotides) under Ananas comosus (pineapple). Its description in RNAcentral is "long non-coding RNA (ACOM_LNC040899)". Lineage: Eukaryota; Viridiplantae; Streptophyta; Magnoliopsida; Poales; Bromeliaceae. The record is from RNAcentral.